This 387-nucleotide ribosomal RNA is filed under the name uncultured bacterium. RNAcentral describes it as "bacterial SSU rRNA". It matches the Rfam family "Bacterial small subunit ribosomal RNA", at positions 28 to 416 of the family's 1533-position model. The record is from RNAcentral.
GACGAACGCUGGCGGCGUGCUUAACACAUGCAAGUCGAGCGGUAAGGCCCCUUCGGGGUACGACGAGCGGCGAACGGGUGAGUAACACGUGGGUGACCUGCCCUCAGCUCUGGGAUAAGCCUGGGAAACCGGGUCUAAUACUGGAUAUGACUCCAUGACGCAUGUUGUGGGGUGGAAAGCCUUGUGCGGCUGAGGAUGGGCCCGCGGCCUAUCAGCUUGUUGGUGGGGUGAUGGCCUACCAAGGCGACGACGGGUAGCCGGCCUGAGAGGGCGACCGGCCACACUGGGACUGAGACACGGCCCAGACUCCUACGGGAGGCAGCAGUGGGGAAUCUUGCGCAAUGGGCGAAAGCCUGACGCAGCGACGCCGCGUGAGGGAUGACGGCC